Molecule: ribosomal RNA, 252 nt
Filed under: uncultured bacterium
Lineage: Bacteria
Description: partial 16S ribosomal RNA
Rfam family: Bacterial small subunit ribosomal RNA
Source: RNAcentral
UACGUAGGUCCCGAGCGUUGUCCGGAUUUAUUGGGCGUAAAGCGGGCGCAGGUGGUUUAUUAAGUCUGGUGUAAAAGGCAGUGGCUCAACCAUUGUAUGCAUUGGGAACUGGUAGACUUGAGUGCAGGAGAGGAGAGUGGAAUUCCAUGUGUAGCGGUGAAAUGCGUAGAUAUAUGGAGGAACACCGGUGGCGAAAGCGGCUCUCUGGCCUGUAACUGACACUGAGGCUCGAAAGCGUGGGGAGCAAACAGG